RNAcentral lists this transfer RNA (74 nucleotides) under Patescibacteria group bacterium. RNAcentral's name for it is "tRNA-Met". It matches the Rfam family "tRNA". From Rfam's summary of the family: Transfer RNA (tRNA) molecules are approximately 80 nucleotides in length. The record is from RNAcentral.
GCCGGAGUAGCUCAGGUAGUUAGAGCGAGAGACUCAUAAGCUCUAGGUCACAGGUGCAAGUCCUGUCUCCGGCA